RNAcentral lists this transfer RNA (77 nucleotides) under Planctomycetota bacterium. Its description in RNAcentral is "tRNA-Arg". It matches the Rfam family "tRNA". Rfam says of the family: Transfer RNA (tRNA) molecules are approximately 80 nucleotides in length. Lineage: Bacteria; Pseudomonadati; Planctomycetota. The record is from RNAcentral.
GUGCCGGUAGCUCAAUUGGAUAGAGCACCUGACUACGGAUCAGGAGGUUGGGGGUUCGAUUCCUCCCCGGCACGCCA